Molecule: ribosomal RNA, 433 nt
Filed under: uncultured bacterium
Lineage: Bacteria
Description: partial 16S ribosomal RNA
Rfam family: Bacterial small subunit ribosomal RNA
Source: RNAcentral
AACGAACGCUGGCGGCAUGCCUAACACAUGCAAGUCGAACGAGACCUUCGGGUCUAGUGGCGCACGGGUGCGUAACGCGUGGGAACCUGCCCUUAGGUUCGGAAUAACUCCCCGAAAGGGGUGCUAAUACCGGAUAAUGUCUUCGGACCAAAGAUUUAUCGCCUUUGGAUGGGCCCGCGUUGGAUUAGCUAGUUGGUAGGGUAAAAGCCUACCAAGGCGACGAUCCAUAGCUGGUCUGAGAGGAUGAUCAGCCACACUGGGACUGAGACACGGCCCAGACUACUACGGGAGGGAGGAGUGGGGAAUAUUGGAAAAUGGGCGAAAGGCUGAUCCAGCAAUGGCGCGUGAGUGAUGAAGGGCUUAGGGUUGUAAAGCUCUUUUACCCGGGAUGAUAAUGACAAUACCGGGAGAAUAAGCUCCGGCUAACUCCGUG